This 555-nucleotide small RNA is filed under the name Pongo abelii (Sumatran orangutan). Its description in RNAcentral is "processed transcript". The record is from RNAcentral. Lineage: Eukaryota; Metazoa; Chordata; Mammalia; Primates; Hominidae.
AGAUGUGAAAGCAGGACAAGGCGGAGAUGGGGGUGUGAAGAUAAAAGGUGCUGGCGCACACCUGAAUGGAAAUAGAAUGAUCCAAGAGAAAGGGAAGUAGCACAAGAGGGGAGGAGGAGCUGCAUGGCUGGAGACCCCUGUGAGAAAGCAGGAAGAGGACAGAUUCAGGAUGUCCUGUCGGGGCGUGGACCCUGGAAAGCUGCGGGCACCAGGAGGGCAGGUGAGCGUGGCACUGGGCUGUGCCUCCCGUGGACGGACCAUUGCUUUUGCUAGCACCUUUGCUGCCUUUCUGACUCGAGCAUUUGAUCACAUCCGGAUAGGAGGCCUCUCUGAGAGCAACAUCAACAUUAUUGGUUCCCACUGUGGGGUAUCUGUUGGUGAAGAUGGUGCUUCCCAGAUGGCCCUGGAGGAUAUAGCCAUGUUCCGAACCAUUCCCAAGUGCACGAUCUUCUACCCAACUGAUGCCGUCUCCACGGAGAAUGCUGUUGCUCUGGCGGCCAAUGCCAAGGGGAUGUGCUUCAUUCGGACCACCCGACCAGAAACUAUGGUUAUUUA